RNAcentral lists this ribosomal RNA (510 nucleotides) under uncultured crenarchaeote. Its description in RNAcentral is "bacterial SSU rRNA". It matches the Rfam family "Archaeal small subunit ribosomal RNA", at positions 315 to 827 of the family's 1478-position model. Lineage: Archaea; Thermoproteati; Thermoproteota. The record is from RNAcentral.
GGGGGGCCCUACGGGGUGCACCAGGCGCGAAACCUCUGCAAUAGGCGAAAGCUUGACAGGGUUACUCUGAGUGAUUUCCGUUAAGGAGAUCUUUUGGCACCUCUAAAAAUGGUGCAGAAUAAGGGGUGGGCAAGUCUGGUGUCAGCCGCCGCGGUAAUACCAGCACCCCGAGUGGUCGGGACGUUUAUUGGGCCUAAAGCAUCCGUAGCCGGUUCUACAAGUCUUCCGUUAAAUCCACCUGCUUAACAGAUGGGCUGCGGAAGAUACUAUAGAGCUAGGAGGCGGGAGAGGCAAGCGGUACUCGAUGGGUAGGGGUAAAAUCCGUUGAUCCAUUGAAGACCACCAGUGGCGAAGGCGGCUUGCCAGAACGCGCUCGACGGUGAGGGAUGAAAGCUGGGGGAGCAAACCGGAUUAGAUACCCGGGUAGUCCCAGCUGUAAACGAUGCAGACUCGGUGAUGAGUUGGCUUAUUGCUAACUCAGUGCCGCAGGGAAGCCGUUAAGUUUGCCGC